CGUAGGGUGCGAGCGUUAAUCGGAAUUACUGGGCGUAAAGCGUGCGCAGGCGGUUUUGUAAGACAGAUGUGAAAUCCCCGGGCUCAACCUGGGACCUGCAUUUGUGACUGCAAGGCUAGAGUACGGUAGAGGGGGAUGGAAUUCCGCGUGUAGCAGUGAAAUGCGUAGAUAUGCGGAGGAACACCGACGGCGAAGGCAAUCCCCUGGACCUGUACCGACGCUCAUGCACGAAAGCGUGGGGAGCAAACAGGAUUAGAUACCCUGGUAGUCCACGCCCUAAACGAUGUCAACUGGUUGUUGGGUCUUUACUGACUCAGUAACGAAGCUAACGCGUGAAGUUGACCGCCUGGGGAGUACGGCCGCAAGGUUG
This 370-nucleotide ribosomal RNA is filed under the name uncultured organism. RNAcentral describes it as "bacterial SSU rRNA". It matches the Rfam family "Bacterial small subunit ribosomal RNA", at positions 526 to 896 of the family's 1533-position model. The record is from RNAcentral.